RNAcentral lists this long non-coding RNA (555 nucleotides) under Eucalyptus grandis. Its description in RNAcentral is "long non-coding RNA (EGRA_LNC003388)". The record is from RNAcentral. Lineage: Eukaryota; Viridiplantae; Streptophyta; Magnoliopsida; Myrtales; Myrtaceae.
GUGGAAUGGUUUAUGCGGAUGCAAUUUAAACUACCAGCAAAUCUUGAUAUCAUUCAAGAUACGACAGGACACUCCCCAUCAUGCAUAUCUGACUGAUGACAAUCAAUCACAUUGAUUUAUGACUCGUGAACUUGUCGUUAAUGAUCAGAAUAACAGGCGGUCUUCUGGAUGAGAGAGUAAGCUGCGGCUAUAUAUGUGUCAAAUCAAAUCAGACAGAAGGGGAAAUUGUAGCAAAGCAAACAAGGUCACUGUCCCAGAAGCAAAAGCAGCAAUUGGAAUAGUGAUUCGAGCAUAAUUGUGACCAAGGAGGAUGAAAACGGUGGCCCAUCGUGGUAGCUAUGGAGACAAACAGGUUUCCAAGUCCUAACACCAGCCUGUUUGGCAACGGAUGCAGAAAAUGUUCCUCUGCAUAAUGUGAUGUCAAAAAUGGAAAGGAACUAAAACUGAAGUAGCAGAGGAAAAGACAGCCGGUGUGGCUAGUAUCCAUAGGAGGGGUAAAUGGUCGUUUGACCGAUCCAUUAGCCCAGUAGAUCUUAUCAGCCUUUCCAGGCUGAU